Molecule: ribosomal RNA, 506 nt
Filed under: Babylonia areolata
Lineage: Eukaryota; Metazoa; Mollusca; Gastropoda; Neogastropoda; Buccinidae
Description: partial 16S ribosomal RNA
Rfam family: Bacterial large subunit ribosomal RNA
Source: RNAcentral
AGUCGGGCCUGCCCAGUGAAAGUUUUUAACGGCCGCGGUACUCUGACCGUGCAAAGGUAGCAUAAUCAUUUGCCUUAUAAUUGAAGGCUGGUAUGAAUGGUUUGACAAGAAUAUAGCUGUCUCUUUAUAAUUUGCUAGAAUUUUAUUUGUAAGUGAAGAAGCUUACAUAAAAUUGAAGGACAAGAAGACCCUAUCGAGCUUUAAAAAAACUAACGGAUUAAGAAAUUAUUUAUAAAAAACAAUCCACUAGACAUUUUAGUUGGGGCGACUGAGGAACAAAAAAAGCUUCCUUUAAGGUAUUAGAUAAACGCACGAGUAUUGAUCCAGAAAUUUUGAUUAAAGGAAAUAGUUACCGUAGGGAUAACAGCAUAAUCUUUUUUAAGAGCCCAUAUCGAAAAAAAGGUUUGUGACCUCGAUGUUGGACCAGAAUAUCCUGAAGAUGUAGCAGUCUUUAAGGGUUGGUCUGUUCGACCAUUAAAAUUCUACGUGAGCUGAGUUCAGACCGG